CGGGGGCGCGGCUCCUCCGCGGGAGGGCUUGCCCCCCGCCUCAGCUGCCUGGCGCUCCCCGCACUAACGGGCCCGGUGCAUCGCCACCGCGGCCCCGGCCCCGCCCGAGCUCGGCUGUGCCCCCAGGCCGGGCUCUGGGCCCCGGGCGCCCGCGGGCCAGGACGCCUCCCGCCGAGGCGCGGGGGCAGCUACAUCGCGGGGCGCCUGGGCGGCGGCGCCAAAGCCAGGGUCACAAGGGCACGGGGCGGGUGGGGGAGGAGGUGGGGUGCGGGAGGGGGCAGGAGACCAGGGCAGAGGUCGGCCCCCGCCGCGGGCGCUUUCACGCCGCGGGCAUUGCCCGCCCGGCUUCGGCGCCCCGGGCGCAAAGCAGGAGCGCAAACUCUGCCCGAGGCGGCGACGGCUGCGGUCGGGGCUCACUAGGGAGCGACUAGGUGCCCGCGGCGGCCCAGCUGCCUGGACCUCUCCCCUCCCCGGGGUGUGCCCCCAGCCCAAGGCGACCCGCUUAGGCGCUGGGUCGGCUAUGGGAGUAGGGGUUUCUCCGGAGCCAGCUAGCCGAGCGGAGACACCAGGAGAAUUGAAGAGGAGGAGGAGGAAGAGGAGGAGGCGGAGGUGGAGGAGGAGGAGAAAAAGGAGGAGGAGCAGAGUGGGAGGAGGAGCCGCCGGCCGCGGGCCCCGCCGCGCGCAACGCUCUCCAAGAGCGCGCCGAGCCCAGCCCCGGCUCUGCAGUCCGCGCCAGCCAAGCGUCCGCGCCUUUUCUACAGCCGCGCCUGACAUCACGUCCUGCCGCCGCGCCAUUGGCCGCCCGGCACCCCGGGCCCCGGCAGCGCGUGCUCUGGGAAGGCGGGAGACCCGAGAGGGAGGGGAACCGCAAGAGGAGGAGAGGAGCGACGAGAUGGUGGGAGCUGCCCACACCCACCGCCGACCGACCCCGAAUUCCCUGACAGGAUUGCCGCCGGGUGCGCCCGCGUAUGUAUCCCUCCGUGUCUGGCUGGGACGCGCUCGGGUCGGCAAAGGGCUCAAACUUCAUUUCCCGCCACGGGAUCUGGGCACCCCUCCCGCCCCCGACACCACACACACCCCAGCCCUGAAUUCAGAGGCCGGUAACUUUGCUAAUCUCCCCCAGCGGUGA
RNAcentral lists this long non-coding RNA (1129 nucleotides) under Bos grunniens (domestic yak). RNAcentral's name for it is "lncRNA (ENSBGRG00000017580.1)". The record is from RNAcentral. Lineage: Eukaryota; Metazoa; Chordata; Mammalia; Artiodactyla; Bovidae.